This 200-nucleotide ribosomal RNA is filed under the name uncultured bacterium. Its description in RNAcentral is "partial 16S ribosomal RNA". It matches the Rfam family "Bacterial small subunit ribosomal RNA", at positions 524 to 723 of the family's 1533-position model. The record is from RNAcentral.
UACGUAGGUGGCAAGCGUUGUCCGGAUUUAUUGGGUUUAAAGGGUGCGUAGGCGGAUCGUUAAGUCGGGGGUGAAAUCCUGGAGCUCAACUCCAGAACUGCCUUCGAUACUGGCGAUCUUGAGUCCGGAAGAGGUGAGUGGAACUCCUAGUGUAGAGGUGGAAUUCGUAGAUAUUAGGAAGAACACCAGUGGCGAAGGCG